This is a non-coding RNA of Periconia macrospinosa, 98 nucleotides long. NCBI's taxonomy places the organism in Eukaryota, Fungi, Ascomycota, Dothideomycetes, Pleosporales, Periconiaceae. The record is from the annotation of a GenBank genome assembly.
GCCCGCCUGGCUAAGUGGUAUAGCGUCUCACUAGUAUACUACUUAUUAAUCCCAAGCAAGCUAUGAGAAGAUCACAGGUUCGAUUCCUGUGGUGGGCA